CAUAAUACCCUCCAGUUCCAUCCGCAUCAAUGUAAAUGAUCCCUUUGUCAUUAUUUUCCAUGAUUUCUUCCUUAGAAUCUUGAUUCUUCCCUAUUGAAGCACAUAUUUUUGUCCACACUCCUGAGGUGAAUCUGGAAGGAAUUCCAGCCGCAAAAGGCUGUCCCAAGGCCAUGGUUUUCUGGAAAUCCCAGUGGGAAGGAA
Molecule: non-coding RNA, 201 nt
Organism: Leptonychotes weddellii (Weddell seal)
Lineage: Eukaryota; Metazoa; Chordata; Mammalia; Carnivora; Phocidae
Source: RefSeq, a predicted model, not a curated record